This 253-nucleotide ribosomal RNA is filed under the name uncultured bacterium. Its description in RNAcentral is "partial 16S ribosomal RNA". It matches the Rfam family "Bacterial small subunit ribosomal RNA", at positions 524 to 776 of the family's 1533-position model. The record is from RNAcentral.
UACAGAGGUCUCAAGCGUUGUUCGGAUUCAUUGGGCGUAAAGGGUGUGUAGGUGGCGCCGUAAGUCGGGUGUGGAAUUUCGGAGCUUAACUCCGAAACUGCAUUCGAUACUGCGGUGCUUGAGGACUGGAGAGGAGACUGGAAUUCAUGGUGUAGCAGUGAAAUGCGUAGAGAUCAUGAGGAAGACCAGUGGCGAAGGCGGGUCUCUGGACAGUUCCUGACACUGAGAAACGAAGGCCAGGGGAGCAAACGGG